RNAcentral lists this non-coding RNA (154 nucleotides) under human gut metagenome. RNAcentral's name for it is "FMN riboswitch (RFN element)". It matches the Rfam family "FMN riboswitch aptamer (RFN element)". From Rfam's summary of the family: The RFN element is a highly conserved domain that is found frequently in the 5'-untranslated regions of prokaryotic mRNAs that encode for flavin mononucleotide (FMN) biosynthesis and transport proteins. This element is a metabolite-dependent riboswitch that directly binds FMN in the absence of proteins. RNAcentral also lists the same sequence under 1 other name. The record is from RNAcentral.
GUUUCAGGGCGAGGUGCAAUUCCUCACUGGCGGUAACGGACAGGCGGGGCAACAUAGCCCCAUCCGAAGCCCGCGACCCUGCUUGGCUUGGCGGCCGAAGCAGGCUGACUUGGUGCAAAUCCAAGGCCAACGGUUAAAGUCCGGAUGGAAGAGA